Long non-coding RNA from Echinops telfairi (small Madagascar hedgehog), 3636 nucleotides. RefSeq lists it as uncharacterized. NCBI's taxonomy places the organism in Eukaryota, Metazoa, Chordata, Mammalia, Afrosoricida, Tenrecidae. The record is from RefSeq and is a predicted model, not a curated record. The transcript has 4 exons.
GCCAAGAUCUUAAGGUCUGUAUAUGCUCUCAAAUUCGAUUUCGCCGCCUUCAUGAUAAUGGCAUGUUGAAAGCUAUGCCCAUACCUGUGGUUUCAGCUCACCUUCUGUGUUUCAUUCCUCCUAGAUUUAGACAUUCUCUGCUCUGAUUAUUAAUGCAUGUUUGCAGCUGUUCCCAUUUUGAGUUCUGCCACAUAAACAGAUGAAGGUCCCUAAGCUUUACUUAUAUCAUUCAGUGUGGCACAGAAGGAAGCGGCUUUCUCCAGCUGUAAUUGAAGUCCCUUCAACUCGGAAGGCUUCAUCUUCUGGCACAGUAUCAGGCGAUAUUCACUGCUGUUCAUGAGAUUUUCACUGGGCUGUUUUUGUUUUGUGUUGUUUGGUUUUUGUUUUAGAAGUGGAUCACCAGGUCCUUUCUAGUCUGUCUUAGUCUGGAAGCUCUACUCAAAUCUGCCCUUCACUAGUGACCUGCUGGUAUCAGAAAUACUGGUGGCAUACUUUCCAGUGUCCCUGUAACAUGCAAGCUACCACAAUACAACAAAAUGACAAAAGAGUGAAUACAAGCAAAAAUACCUUUAAAUGAUUUCAUUGCUAUUCUGUAUUCACUUAAUAUAAAACUACAAUAAACAUCUGUAUCUGUGUAUGUUUAAGCCCAUUUAUAACCAUAGGAUAUACUUCUAGAAAUCAGCAGCCUCAUCGUUUUCCUUCAGAGCCACUUGGUGGGUGUGAAGUGCCAGUCUUUUUGGUUAGCAGCCCAAUGCCUAACCUUCUCCAUUAUAAAAGCGGACUGCAAAUUUGGCUGUGCUUCCUAGCAGCCGAAGAGAAGGGGGACCAUUAGAAGACUCGCGGUUACUUAGGAGCAGACACAGACUUCUCUUGUACUGACACCUGUAGAAAGUGCCCAAUAUUGGUUUUCCUAACAGGCUGUCCGUGUGUUUUGUUUUGCUUUUUAACUUAAUUUUUAUUUUUAAGUUAUGUGUUGUUGUUGAUGGUAUAACCCAAUUCUCUAUUGAUUAAUAGUCAAUCUAAAGGCAAAGGAAGUAAUAAGCUCCAGACCCUCAGAAGUUACUUGCUCUCAAAUAACAAAGUGAAACCCUCCAGGGGCACCACGGGACAGACAUGAGGGAGGGAGGGCCUGGAGGAGAGUACUCAAAAGGCAUAGCAAAUACAUAUAUUUUUUUCAAAUAUAUUUUUAGAUCAUUUAUUGAAAGCCAAGUUUGUACAGAUCAUUGCAAUAUGAUAAAAUCAAACACAUUAGAUUUAUGGUACUAGAAUCUACGAUAUCGAUGUUUAUGCGAAGUAUCUGGUCUGUCUGUAUUCCAAGAACCAAGCAGUGUUUGGUAUGUUUUAAGUACUGAAAUAUGUCAAAUGAGUAUUUUCAAGAAUACAAUUUACGGGAUUUCAUAGAAUGAAUGGACACUGAAUCUAUUGAGUAUUGAGCAGCAAGAAUAUAAGUAUAAUGUUUUCCCAAGACAUAUAAUAAACUGCUAAUCAUGUCUUCAGGAUUUAGAUGGGGAGAUUAUUACCAUUACAAUUUUACACCCCCUCCCCCCAAUUUUAGCCCUUUAAGAAGUGUUUUAAAAUUUUACUCUUUACUCCUUCUCACAUUAAAAAAAAGUGCCAUCUCACAUUAAAAAAAAGUGCCAAUUCACACAACAUAUAACCAAAUGUUAAUUAAAAAGAACAGGUCAGUCACAUUUAGUAUAGAAUUCAACCACCUCAUCUAUCUAAUAUCAAACCAAUUUCAUUAUCACAAGAGAAAACCUGUACCCAUUAAGUAGUGGCUCUAAUUCUCCCCUCCUUUACCCCUAAGCAACCACCAAAUUCUCUGCUGUCUCUAUGGAUAUACCCAUUCAAAAUAUUUCUUAUAAAUGGUAUCAUAGAAUAUAGGACAUUUUGUGUGUGAUUUCUUUCCCUUGUGUUCACUUUUAUUUGAAUGAAUGAGUAUAUUUUCAAAAUUAUGUUCUCUGACAAGAACCUGGAGUGUAAUUUGAUCACUGGCUCUUAAUAAGAAGUAGGAUCUUUGUCUAAGAAAUCAUUGCGUAUGAUGACAUGUUUAAAUGCAUACUUAUAAAAUGCAUACAUGUUUAAAAUGUGUAUUCUUGGUUCCGAUAACUAGAUGUGUAUUUGACAAGUGGAGUAAAAACCCAAAUGAAACCAACUGCUGUCUUACAGUCACCCUGUAUCAGGGAGGAACCGCGGCCCCACAGGAGCUCCAAUGCCACAGACUGUCACAGCCUUCUCUAAAGAGCAGCUGAUGGAUUGAAAUCACCAACUUUAUGGUGGGCAGCUAAGUACUAACCACUGUACCAACUGGGCUACCCAAGUCUGCAACAGAAUCUUGGAAUCUUAACAUUUUUAACAAGGACUCCAGUAGAUUCUGAUGUAGGUGACAUAUAUACCACCCGCUGAGAAUCACUCGCCACCCAGGUGAAUUUUCCCCCCCAAAACUUCAUUCCAGCCCUAAACUUGCCACCAUCACUACACUCCUACUCAGUAUACACCCAACACUCACUUCUUUUGUUGCCCAUUUAAGGAUUACACAGGUUUGAGAAUCAGCCAUGUGGAAAGCGGGGCUGGUCUCUUGUACUAAGAGCAUCACCAGGAGUUUGCUUAUUAGAGAACUAAGCCCACCUCCACAACUAGUUUGAGAUUGCAAUCCAAAGAAAGUUUUGAUCUGCUUCAAUUUUGAUCCGCUUCAACACAAACAUGCGGAGAAGUACUUGCAACUCUGUCACACAGCAUGCCCACAGCCUAGAUAAUUUCCAGUAGGCCGCUAGAGGCAGUUCUGCAACUCAUUUCUGCAAGCCUACUGACCAUCUAAUUUUUAGCAAUACCAAAAGAAAGCUCCCUCGUGCUAUUUCUAUGGGUAUACUCACCUAUCUUCUACUGUCUUGUUCGAAGGAUAAAAAACUUUGAAUGAAAAUCCACUUCUUGGAAAAGAACCCUUUGAGAAGAAAAAUGGCUGGUGUCACACAGGCUGUCAUCUUGACACAAGCAGAUUGCCGGUCUUGCUCCCACAGAACCGCUGGAAAUCUGUGCUGAGGAAGUAAGGAUGAACACAAAGACUAACAUUCCACAGUUGUGAGCGUUUGGAAGGAAACAGGAAGUCCCGCUCAGAAGGAUGUGCACAAGCCAGACCUUCAGAGGGUUAGCCUACUCUGCAUUGGAAGACAUCCCAUCGCUCCCAGCUUAAAUGUUACGAUCCUACAGAAGCUUCUGCUGAGGAUCCAAAAGAUGUUAGAUCUUCCUAUUAUAUACUAAAUAGCAUCCUGCACUGCUCCUUUGUGAAAUGCAUCAAAUUGUCAUCACCUACUCUGGGGGGUGAGUAUUUAAUGUUGAACUCCUCCAACCAGCACAGAGCCAGUUGUCAAAAACAUAUCAUGCUACCCUGAAGGAAGCAACAAGUACAGAGCAGCAGACAGAGAAGCAAUGGACGGAAAGACAUAAUCUGGACUGUAAGCACGGCCCCACCAAUCUUGGCAAGUUAACUGUCCUGCCCUCCUUCAUCAACACAUUGAGAGCUGCUCUCUGUGCCCUGAUGAGAUGACUUUCUGACAACUGAAGGUACAAAGCACUUGAUGGUAGCAAGGGGUACCUUUAAUGUAUACUUUAGGAUUAUAAACCUUACGUUUAAAUCAA